Molecule: non-coding RNA, 382 nt
Organism: Sus scrofa (pig)
Lineage: Eukaryota; Metazoa; Chordata; Mammalia; Artiodactyla; Suidae
Source: RefSeq, a predicted model, not a curated record
CAACAUUCCCUGUUCCUUCAACACUCGGACUCCUUUCCCAGCGGAAGCGCUGGCUCCUUCUCCUCGGGACCGUCCCUGGCCUCUCCAGUCCCACCUGCACAAAGGGAGAUGGAAGAAGAGGACUCAGACGCCUCUCCAGUCCUGGGAAGAAUUCCAACGUAAAUAUUACCAGUGAUGGAAAUCUGAGGGAAGGCGAGGAGGAUGAAAGACGAAUUGAGGCCCCAAAGAGUGUCCAGUUCCUCCUUAACUGCAGAGCCAUGGAAAAUUCUUUGUUCCCAACUGCUGGCUUCUUGCCUCCAGGAUCUGGGUCCUAGCGGCCAGGCGCACUCCUGCCUUGAUGCAGUCGUUCCGACACUCUCCCUGACACCUCCUGGGAAGCAAG